AUGGGCCCUCAACACCCAUCAAUGCAUGGUGUUCUUCGACUGAUCGUUACUCUCGAUGGUGAGGAUGUUAUUGAUUGUGAACCCAUAUUAGGCUAUUUACACCGGAUGAUGAUAAAUUCUCAUGUCCGGUUCCUUUGGGGGAUGGAUCCUAAAGAGUUCACCUAUCGCAAUAACAAAGAAACCAGACUUCUCGGAAACAUCAGGAACAUAACAGAUAUUUCUUGGUUUCAACUUUGCGACAUCAAAAGAGAAAGACUAGAAAAGGAAUAUAUAGAACAAGAACCUUUUUAA
Molecule: ribosomal RNA, 291 nt
Filed under: Triticum aestivum (bread wheat)
Lineage: Eukaryota; Viridiplantae; Streptophyta; Magnoliopsida; Poales; Poaceae
Description: partial small subunit ribosomal RNA
Source: RNAcentral